GAAGGUGUGCUGUGAGGCAUGCUGGAGGUAUCAGAAGUGCGAAUGCUGACAUAAGUAACGAUAAAGCGGGUGAAAAGCCCGCUCGCCGGAAGACCAAGGGUUCCUGUCCAACGUUAAUCGGGGCAGGGUGAGUCGACCCCUAAGGCGAGGCCGAAAGGCGUAGUCGAUGGGAAACAGGUUAAUAUUCCUGUACUUGGUGUUACUGCGAAGGGGGGACGGAGAAGGCUAUGUUGGCCGGGCGACGGUUGUCCCGGUUUAAGCGUGUAGGCUGGUUUUCCAGGCAAAUCCGGAAAAUCAAGGCUGAGGCGUGAUGACGAGGCACUACGGUGCUGAAGCAACAAAUGCCCUGCUUCCAGGAAAAGCCUCUAAGCAUCAGGUAACAUCAAAUCGUACCCCAAACCGACACAGGUGGUCAGGUAGAGAAUACCAAGGCGCUUGAGAGAACUCGGGUGAAGGAACUAGGCAAAAUGGUGCCGUAACUUCGGGAGAAGGCACGCUGAUAUGUAGGUGAAGUCCCUCGCGGAUGGAGCUGAAAUCAGUCGAAGAUACCAGCUGGCUGCAACUGUUUAUUAAAAACACAGCACUGUGCAAACACGAAAGUGGACGUAUACGGUGUGACGCCUGCCCGGUGCCGGAAGGUUAAUUGAUGGGGUUAGCCGCAAGGCGAAGCUCUUGAUCGAAGCCCCGGUAAACGGCGGCCGUAACUAUAACGGUCCUAAGGUAGCGAAAUUCCUUGUCGGGUAAGUUCCGACCUGCACGAAUGGCGUAAUGAUGGCCAGGCUGUCUCCACCCGAGACUCAGUGAAAUUGAACUCGCUGUGAAGAUGCAGUGUACCCGCGGCAAGACGGAAAGACCCCGUGAACCUUUACUAUAGCUUGACACUGAACAUUGAGCCUUGAUGUGUAGGAUAGGUGGGAGGCUUAGAAGUGUGGACGCCAGUCUGCAUGGAGCCGACCUUGAAAUACCACCCUUUAAUGUUUGAUGUUCUAACGUUGACCCGUAAUCCGGGUUGCGGACAGUGUCUGGUGGGUAGUUUGACUGGGGCGGUCUCCUCCUAAAGAGUAACGGAGGAGCACGAAGGUUGGCUAAUCCUGGUCGGACAUCAGGAGGUUAGUGCAAUGGCAUAAGCCAGCUUGACUGCGAGCGUGACGGCGCGAGCAGGUGCGAAAGCAGGUCAUAGUGAUCCGGUGGUUCUGAAUGGAAGGGCCAUCGCUCAACGGAUAAAAGGUACUCCGGGGAUAACAGGCUGAUACCGCCCAAGAGUUCAUAUCGACGGCGGUGUUUGGCACCUCGAUGUCGGCUCAUCACAUCCUGGGGCUGAAGUAGGUCCCAAGGGUAUGGCUGUUCGCCAUUUAAAGUGGUACGCGAGCUGGGUUUAGAACGUCGUGAGACAGUUCGGUCCCUAUCUGCCGUGGGCGCUGGAGAACUGAGGGGGGCUGCUCCUAGUACGAGAGGACCGGAGUGGACGCAUCACUGGUGUUCGGGUUGUCAUGCCAAUGGCACUGCCCGGUAGCUAAAUGCGGAAGAGAUAAGUGCUGAAAGCAUCUAAGCACGAAACUUGCCCCGAGAUGAGUUCUCCCUGACNNNNNNNNNNNNNNNNNNNNNNNNNNNNNNNNNNNNNNNNNNNNNNNNNNNNNNNNNNNNNNNNNNNNNNNNNNNNNNNGUAGCGCGGUGGUCCCACCUGACCCCAUGCCGAACUCAGAAGUGAAACGCCGUAGCGCCGAUGGUAGUGUGGGGUCUCCCCAUGCGAGAGUAGGGAACUGCCAGGCAUCAAAUU
RNAcentral lists this ribosomal RNA (1777 nucleotides) under Escherichia coli. Lineage: Bacteria; Pseudomonadati; Pseudomonadota; Gammaproteobacteria; Enterobacterales; Enterobacteriaceae. The record is from RNAcentral.